Heterocephalus glaber (naked mole-rat) is the source of this 1572-nucleotide non-coding RNA. Lineage: Eukaryota; Metazoa; Chordata; Mammalia; Rodentia; Bathyergidae. The record is from RefSeq and is a predicted model, not a curated record.
UUGAACUUGCAAUCCUGCCUCAGCCUCCUAAGUAGCUGGGAUUACAGGCAUGUGUCGACCUGCCUGACAGUUCUACAGACUGGAAAGUCCAACACCAAAGUGCCAACAUUUGAAGUCUGGGACCUGAGCGCCUUUGGCUCCCCAUGGCCAGCAGAGGGCAGGACUCCCAGCAGGGCUUCAGAGGGGCUGUGGAGAGGAACAGACUCCCACGGCUGCACAUUGUCCAGACAACACCAGCAGAAGUUGCUACACACAGCCUUGAUAGCCACCAGUGGUGAUCGAACUCGGGACCUUGUGUCUUGUGGUAGUUUUAGAUGCCAUCAAUGUGGGAAAGAACUGACAUGCAAUACCACUCUAGGAGAAAAACCUGUGAUGAUACCUGUCUCAUAAGCACUGUGUACGUCAUAAUAAUAAAGGUCACUUGGGGGAAGGAGACUCAGCUUCUGCCCUUCAGGAAUCAGUUGAGCUGAUGAACUUGGAUGAAGACUGUUUCAGGUGCUGCAGGCGUCUGCUAAAUCAAUGGGGUCCCGGUGGCUGGAGAGCCAGGGAAGGGCAUGAGUGGAGCUGUGAACAGGUGGGGUCUGCUUGUUUUCACCACCGCACCUCGGACGAUGUGGGUGUUAGUCCCAGGAAGAAAACAUGGAUGAAGUUUCACGCUGAACAGAUGCCCGGGAACCAGGUCCAAAUGGAAAGAAAGCCACAGUCGCAUCCCUUCUUCUCUGACAGCCGAGGCUCUCCAUGAACCGUGUGAUAGCAAGGACUGUGGCUUUUUGGGUCAGAGGCGUCCCCCAGCACCUCUGCAAGGCUGCAUACUCACAGGGUGCUGGGUAAAUAGGUACAAUACAUAGAGUAAGGAAGUGAAGGCGGUAGGCAGACGAAGGCGUAAGGCCCAGGCCCAACCGACCCAGGGCAUAACACACCGAAGACGCUUCGUAAAAUACUGGCUGAAGCCAGGUGUGGUGGUGCACGUCUGUAAUCCCAGCUUUGAGAGGCGGGAGAAGCGAAAAUUUCAAUCCAGCUGGUGCAAAUUAGUGAUUUAGCAAUGCCCUGUCUCAAAAAGAACAAAAACGACUGGGAGUGUAGCUCGUUUGCAGGCCCUGGGUUUAAUCCCCAGUACUGUGACGGGUUGAAAGGAGUAUACAGGUGAUAGAGGAAUGAUGCCAUGGGUUUCAAAUCUGCUCUCUCUCUCAUUCUCUCUUUCCUUUUUUUCUGUUUUGGCAGUGCUAGGGCUUGAACCCAGGGCCUUAUGGAUGCUGGGGAAGCACCUCUGCCUUAGCCAAACUGCCAGGUCUGAAAUGUGCCUUUGUGGAGUGAUUGCAUAACUUUCUUGAGCCUUCAUUUGGAGUCAGUAAACUGGGAAUACACUUUCCCCACUUCAGUGGUCAAGUGAGAAAAUAGAUGUGAUCCCAGGGCGGAGCUCUGUAAACUGGAAAGUAUAUAAAACAAAGAGCUGUCAGCCACCCUUGUCACUGGGACUCCCUUGCCCUUAAAAAACGAUGGGAGUAAUUAAAAAACGGGCAUCUGAAAUGAACAGACAUUUCUCAGACAAAGAAGUAAAAGCAGCACAUAAAU